This 749-nucleotide ribosomal RNA is filed under the name bacterium QAM24. RNAcentral's name for it is "bacterial SSU rRNA". It matches the Rfam family "Bacterial small subunit ribosomal RNA", at positions 77 to 822 of the family's 1533-position model. The record is from RNAcentral.
UGCUUGCAGAUUGAUGGCGACCGGCGCACGGGUGCGUAACGCGUAUAGAACCUACCUUUAACUUAGGGAUAGCCCAGAGAAAUUUGGAUUAAUACCUUAUAGUAUUAUUGAUUGGCAUCGAUUAAUAAUUAAAGAUUUAUUGGUUAGAGAUGGCUAUGCGUCUUAUUAGCUAGUUGGUUAGGUAACGGCUAACCAAGGCAACGAUAAGUAGGGGUCCUGAGAGGGAGAUCCCCCACACUGGUACUGAGACACGGACCAGACUCCUACGGGAGGCAGCAGUGAGGAAUAUUGGACAAUGGAGGCAACUCUGAUCCAGCCAUGCCGCGUGUAGGAAGACUGCCCUAUGGGUUGUAAACUACUUUUAUAGAGGAAGAAACCCCGGUAUGUAUACCGGUCUGACGGUACUCUACGAAUAAGGAUCGGCUAACUCCGUGCCAGCAGCCGCGGUAAUACGGAGGAUCCAAGCGUUAUCCGGAAUCAUUGGGUUUAAAGGGUCCGUAGGCGGGUUUAUAAGUCAGUGGUGAAAGUUUGCGGCUCAACCGUAAAAUUGCCAUUGAUACUGUAGAUCUUGAAUUAUUGUGAAGUGGUUAGAAUGUGUAGUGUAGCGGUGAAAUGCAUAGAUAUUACACAGAAUACCGAUUGCGAAGGCAGAUCACUAACAAUUGAUUGACGCUAAGGGACGAAAGCGUGGGUAGCGAACAGGAUUAGAUACCCUGGUAGUCCACGCUGUAAACGAUGGUUACUAGCUG